Molecule: long non-coding RNA, 126 nt
Organism: Hyalella azteca
Lineage: Eukaryota; Metazoa; Arthropoda; Malacostraca; Amphipoda; Hyalellidae
Exons: 3
Source: RefSeq, a predicted model, not a curated record
CUUCGCCCGCCCCUACACGACGGAAUACAAAGGCUCAACCGAGGCUGAACGCGUGGCUGCGUUGUCAGAGAGCUCGCUCUUCCACAUCCCUCCUGCAAAGAAAAGAGAGAAGCGGGAGAGUGAAGG